GAUGAACGCUAGCGGCAGGCCUAAUACAUGCAAGUCGAGGGGUAGAAGAGGCUUGCUUCUUUGAGACCGGCGCACGGGUGCGUAACGCGUAUGCAACCUACCUUCAUCUGGGGGAUAGCCCGGAGAAAUCCGGAUUAAUACCGCAUAAAAUCACAGGAUGGCAUUAUCCAAUGAUCAAACAUUUAUGGGAUGGAGAUGGGCAUGCGUGUCAUUAGCUAGUUGGCGGGGUAACGGCCCACCAAGGCGACGAUGACUAGGGGAUCUGAGAGGAUGGCCCCCACCCCUGAUACUGCGACAAGGACCAGACUCCUACGGGAGGCAGCAGUAAGGAAUAUUGGUCAAUGGAGGCAACUCUGGACCAGCCAUGCCGCGUGCAGGAAGACUGCCCUAUGGGUUGUAAACUGCUUUUAUUCGGGAAUAAACCUUAUUACGUGUAAUAAGCUGAAUGUACCGAAGGAAUAAGGAUCGGCUAACUCCGUACCAGCAGCCGCGGUAA
This 496-nucleotide ribosomal RNA is filed under the name uncultured bacterium. RNAcentral describes it as "partial 16S ribosomal RNA". It matches the Rfam family "Bacterial small subunit ribosomal RNA", at positions 28 to 523 of the family's 1533-position model. The record is from RNAcentral.